CCUACGGGGGGCAGCAGUGGGGAAUAUUGGGCAAUGGAGGCAACUCUGACCCAGCAACGCCGCGUGAAUGAUGAAGGUCUUCGGAUUGUAAAGUUCUGUGAUGGGGGAUGAAAACAAUGACGGUACCCCAAUAGCAAGCCACGGCUAACUACGUGCCAGCAGCCGCGGUAAUACGUAGGGGGCAAGCGUUAUCCGGAAUGACUGGGCGUAAAGGGUGCGUAGGUGGUUUAGUAAGUUGGCGGUGUAAUUCCGGGGCUCAACCUCGGCGCUACCGCCAAAACUAUUAGACUAGAGUGCAGGGGAGGUAAGUGGAAUUCGUGGUGUAGCGGUGGAAUGCGUAGAUAUUAGGAAGAACAUCGGGGGCGAAGGCGACUUACGGGACUGUAACUGACGCUGAGGCACGAAAGCGUGGGGAGCAAACAGGAUUAGAUACCCUAGUAGUC
Molecule: ribosomal RNA, 443 nt
Filed under: uncultured bacterium
Lineage: Bacteria
Description: partial 16S ribosomal RNA
Rfam family: Bacterial small subunit ribosomal RNA
Source: RNAcentral